ACAAGCAGCGGAGCGUGUGGUUUAAUUCGAUGCUACACGAAGAACCUUACCAGGGUUUGACAUGCAAGUGGUAGGAAUCCGAAAGGUGACCGACCCUUCGGGGAGCUUGCACAGGUGCUGCAUGGCUGUCGUCAGCUCGUGUCGUGAGAUGUUCGGUUAAGUCCGCUAACGAGCGCAACCCUCGUCGUGUGUUAUACGUGUCACACGAUACUGCCGGUAUCAAGCCGGAGGAGGGUGGGGAUGAUGUCAAGUCAGCAUGGCCUUUAUAUCCUGGGCUACACACACGCUACAAUGGCCAACACAAUAGGUUGCUAAGCCGCGAGGUGGCGCCAAUCCAUAAAGUUGGUCUCAGUUCAGAUUGUAGGCUGCAACCCGCCUGCAUGAAGAUGGAGUUGCUAGUAACCGCAGGUCAGCUAUACUGCGGUGAAUACGUUCCCGGGGCUU
This 444-nucleotide ribosomal RNA is filed under the name uncultured Leptolinea sp. Its description in RNAcentral is "bacterial SSU rRNA". It matches the Rfam family "Bacterial small subunit ribosomal RNA", at positions 925 to 1382 of the family's 1533-position model. The record is from RNAcentral. Lineage: Bacteria; Bacillati; Chloroflexota; Anaerolineae; Anaerolineales; Anaerolineaceae.